Molecule: ribosomal RNA, 460 nt
Filed under: uncultured bacterium
Lineage: Bacteria
Description: partial 16S ribosomal RNA
Rfam family: Bacterial small subunit ribosomal RNA
Source: RNAcentral
CCUACGGGAGGCAGCAGUGAGGAAUAUUGGUCAAUGGACGAGAGUCUGAACCAGCCAAGUAGCGUGAAUGAUGACUGCCCUAUGGGUUGUAAACUUCUUUUAUAUGGGAAUAAAACGUUCCACGUGUGUGAUUUUGUAUGUACCAUAUGAAUAAGGAUCGGCUAACUCCGUGCCAGCAGCCGCGGUAAUACGGAGGAUCCGAGCGUUAGCCGGAUUUAUUGGGUUGAAAGGGAGCGUAGGUGGAUUGUUAAGUCAGUUGUGAAAGUUUGCGGCUCAACCGUAAAAUUGCAGUUGAAACUGGCAGUCUUGAGUACAGUAGAGGUGGGCGGAAUUCGUGGUGUAGCGGUGAAAUGCUUAGAUAUCACGAAGAACUCCGAUUGCGAAGGCAGUUCACUGGACUGCAACUGACACUGAGGCUCGAAAGUGUGGGUAUCAAACAGGAUUAGAUACCCUAGUAGUC